GGCUGUGUGUCUAGUGGUAUGAUUCUCGCUUAGGGUGCGAGAGGUCCCGAGUUCAAUUCUCGGCACAGCCC
Molecule: transfer RNA, 71 nt
Filed under: Perkinsus olseni
Lineage: Eukaryota; Perkinsozoa; Perkinsida; Perkinsidae
Description: tRNA-Pro
Rfam family: tRNA
About the family: Transfer RNA (tRNA) molecules are approximately 80 nucleotides in length. Their secondary structure includes four short double-helical elements and three loops (D, anti-codon, and T loops). Further hydrogen bonds mediate the characteristic L-shaped molecular structure. tRNAs have two regions of fundamental functional importance: the anti-codon, which is responsible for specific mRNA codon recognition, and the 3' end, to which the tRNAs corresponding amino acid is attached (by aminoacyl-tRNA synthetases). tRNAs cope with the degeneracy of the genetic code in two manners: having more than one tRNA (with a specific anti-codon) for a particular amino acid; and 'wobble' base-pairing, i.e. permitting non-standard base-pairing at the 3rd anti-codon position.
Source: RNAcentral